UUAAAACACAAAACACACAUACGUGUGAUGAUGUCUGCGAUGCCACAAGGAGCUCUCAAAACUCAACCCUAAACUUCAAGAAAUUCAUCAAAUUGAAGGGGCAAAUCGAACCCAAAUCGAAAUCCGAGCACAAAAUAGUGAUCACCUCAGUGAAGGGAUCAUAAGUUUGACUCUUGACAAGCUAGAUGGAGGCUUGGGAAUGAAGCGGGUCAAACGGAGUACGAGAAGAAAAGCGUAAACCAUACGAGAGGUAAAGAUGCUCUUUAGACCCCGGAGGAUGAUCAAGCCAUGUCAAGAACCGAACACACCGAACAAAGCUUCCGCAUUUUGUCUAUUUUGUUUUAUGACAUGUAAACACUUGAAAUUAUGUUUUGAAAGUUUAUCUAGCAUGAUGUGGGCUUGAAUGUUAUGAUCAAGUAUGAUCUUAAGACCAUGAAGUUUUUGUAAACACGAAAAAUUUUGUACUAAAUGCAUGAUAAAUGUCAUAAAUCC
Molecule: long non-coding RNA, 492 nt
Organism: Helianthus annuus (common sunflower)
Lineage: Eukaryota; Viridiplantae; Streptophyta; Magnoliopsida; Asterales; Asteraceae
Exons: 3
Source: RefSeq, a predicted model, not a curated record